UACGUAGGGUGCAAGCGUUGUCCGGAAUUAUUGGGCGUAAAGAGCUCGUAGGCGGUCUGUCGCGUCGGCUGUGAAAUCCCGGAGCUCAACUCCGGGUCUGCAGUCGAUACGGGCAAACUGGAGUACUGCAGGGGAGACUGGAAUUCCUGGUGUAGCAGUGAAAUGCGUAGAUAUCAGGAGGAACACCGAUGGCGAAGGCAGGUCUCUGGGCUGACACUGACGCUCAUGCACGAAAGCGUGGGGGAGCAAACAGG
This 254-nucleotide ribosomal RNA is filed under the name uncultured bacterium. RNAcentral's name for it is "partial 16S ribosomal RNA". It matches the Rfam family "Bacterial small subunit ribosomal RNA", at positions 524 to 776 of the family's 1533-position model. The record is from RNAcentral.